RNAcentral lists this ribosomal RNA (1525 nucleotides) under Parabacteroides distasonis. RNAcentral's name for it is "bacterial SSU rRNA". It matches the Rfam family "Bacterial small subunit ribosomal RNA". Lineage: Bacteria; Pseudomonadati; Bacteroidota; Bacteroidia; Bacteroidales; Tannerellaceae. The record is from RNAcentral.
ACAACGAAGAGUUUGAUCCUGGCUCAGGAUGAACGCUAGCGACAGGCUUAACACAUGCAAGUCGAGGGGCAGCACAGGUAGCAAUACCGGGUGGCGACCGGCGCACGGGUGAGUAACGCGUAUGCAACUUACCUAUCAGAGGGGGAUAACCCGGCGAAAGUCGGACUAAUACCGCAUGAAGCAGGGGCCCCGCAUGGGGAUAUUUGCUAAAGAUUCAUCGCUGAUAGAUAGGCAUGCGUUCCAUUAGGCAGUUGGCGGGGUAACGGCCCACCAAACCGACGAUGGAUAGGGGUUCUGAGAGGAAGGUCCCCCACAUUGGUACUGAGACACGGACCAAACUCCUACGGGAGGCAGCAGUGAGGAAUAUUGGUCAAUGGGCGUAAGCCUGAACCAGCCAAGUCGCGUGAGGGAUGAAGGUUCUAUGGAUCGUAAACCUCUUUUAUAAGGGAAUAAAGUGCGGGACGUGUCCCGUUUUGUAUGUACCUUAUGAAUAAGGAUCGGCUAACUCCGUGCCAGCAGCCGCGGUAAUACGGAGGAUCCGAGCGUUAUCCGGAUUUAUUGGGUUUAAAGGGUGCGUAGGCGGCCUUUUAAGUCAGCGGUGAAAGUCUGUGGCUCAACCAUAGAAUUGCCGUUGAAACUGGGGGGCUUGAGUAUGUUUGAGGCAGGCGGAAUGCGUGGUGUAGCGGUGAAAUGCUUAGAUAUCACGCAGAACCCCGAUUGCGAAGGCAGCCUGCCAAGCCAUGACUGACGCUGAUGCACGAAAGCGUGGGGAUCAAACAGGAUUAGAUACCCUGGUAGUCCACGCAGUAAACGAUGAUCACUAGCUGUUUGCGAUACACAGUAAGCGGCACAGCGAAAGCGUUAAGUGAUCCACCUGGGGAGUACGCCGGCAACGGUGAAACUCAAAGGAAUUGACGGGGGCCCGCACAAGCGGAGGAACAUGUGGUUUAAUUCGAUGAUACGCGAGGAACCUUACCCGGGUUUGAACGCAUUCGGACCGAGGUGGAAACACCUUUUCUAGCAAUAGCCGUUUGCGAGGUGCUGCAUGGUUGUCGUCAGCUCGUGCCGUGAGGUGUCGGCUUAAGUGCCAUAACGAGCGCAACCCUUGCCACUAGUUACUAACAGGUAAAGCUGAGGACUCUGGUGGGACUGCCAGCGUAAGCUGCGAGGAAGGCGGGGAUGACGUCAAAUCAGCACGGCCCUUACAUCCGGGGCGACACACGUGUUACAAUGGCGUGGACAAAGGGAGGCCACCUGGCGACAGGGAGCGAAUCCCCAAACCACGUCUCAGUUCGGAUCGGAGUCUGCAACCCGACUCCGUGAAGCUGGAUUCGCUAGUAAUCGCGCAUCAGCCAUGGCGCGGUGAAUACGUUCCCGGGCCUUGUACACACCGCCCGUCAAGCCAUGGGAGCCGGGGGUACCUGAAGUCCGUAACCGAAAGGAUCGGCCUAGGGUAAAACUGGUGACUGGGGCUAAGUCGUAACAAGGUAGCCGUACCGGAAGGUGCGGCUGGAACACCUCCUUU